CACGUGGCGCUCCUCCGGUCAUGUGACGCAGACGGUUCACCUCACAAGACCGGGGUCAACCACAGCUACCAGCAUGAACGACGGCGCUUCAGACGGGAUCUGCAGAGACUUUGAUUCAUCUGCCGUCUGGACAUGGAGUGUUGUGGGUCUCCUCCAAUCAGACAGUGGGAUGCUGCAGGUCACUAGACUGACCCCCUGUGCUUUGGAAGGGGAGGAGCUCACAGCGCCACCUGCUGCUUGUUGAGGACAAUGCACAAUGAGGGACGUCUGCAGCGACUGAGAAAGAGUCUCACCACAUCCUGACAUGAGGAAAAAGACUUUAUUGAAGACUACAAUGAGAAAAACUAUCAGACAGCAGACGGCUGCAUUCAAGUCUGUAGCUGCUGAAUUCAUGGAUGAAUCAUCUGGCACUAGAGAAGAAGACCAUCAAACAUCCACGUCAGCUGAUGGAGGUCCAAGAGUCUCACCCAACAAACAACCUACAGAGUGAAGACCUCCAAUCUGAUUGGACGGCCUCCUAUUCAGCCACGUGUGAACAAAUGCCUCUAAGUUGAUUUGUUUUCUAAAAUAAAUCUAGUUUGAGUCCUAAUCAAUGCUUGUGUGUUUGCUUCUUUACACCGCUGUUAACAG
Molecule: long non-coding RNA, 630 nt
Organism: Amphiprion ocellaris (clown anemonefish)
Lineage: Eukaryota; Metazoa; Chordata; Actinopteri; Pomacentridae
Source: Ensembl